UACGUAGGGUCCGAGCGUUGUCCGGAAUUAUUGGGCGUAAAGGGCUCGUAGGCGGUUUGUCGCGUCGGGAGUGAAAACUCAGGGCUCAACCCUGAGCGUGCUUCCGAUACGGGCAAACUAGAGGUAUGCAGGGGAGAAUGGAAUUCCUGGUGUAGCGGUGGAAUGCGCAGAUAUCAGGAGGAACACCGGUGGCGAAGGCGGUUCUCUGGGCAUUACCUGACGCUGAGGAGCGAAAGCGUGGGGAGCGAACAGG
RNAcentral lists this ribosomal RNA (253 nucleotides) under uncultured bacterium. RNAcentral describes it as "partial 16S ribosomal RNA". It matches the Rfam family "Bacterial small subunit ribosomal RNA", at positions 524 to 776 of the family's 1533-position model. The record is from RNAcentral.